CACCUGAUGCUGAGGCUGGAGCCAGCCUUUUCCACCGCGUGGUAGCUUGUGUGCAGCAGGCGGCUGGCCUGCUCUGAGCCCUCGCCCUGCAGCCAGUGCCCAUACAGCUCCUGGACCCCAGGCGCAUCCUCUGGUGCCUCGGUCCUGACCAUGCUGUAUAGCCUCUCAACCUGCUGGAGAAGCUCCUUGCCAGGCAUGUCAGGGGCCUUGAGCUGGCCUCCACCAUUCAAGCAGCCUGUAGCAGAGAAGGACAGGCAGAAGUGUGGUCAAGGGGAGGGUGUCAGCACACGGGGUCCCAGAGGGCCCACUCUGUCUGCAGCUACCUGAAGGGCAGGCCAUGACCUCCACAUAGUGGUAUGGGCAGCGGCCUCGCUUGAGCUUUUGCACCAGGUUCUGGAUGUUGCGGAAGCCGUAGGCCGCGGCGAAGUGCAGCAGGACCCGGCCCUCCCUCUCCAGAGUCACCUCCUGGAGGUCCUUGUUCCUGAGGGGACACAGACCAGGCUGUCCACACGGCACGCCCAGGCUUCCUCCCAGAAUGGGAACCCCACCUUCCCAAGGUCUGACAAAGGCCCCAGCCCGCCCUCCCUGGAAUGGGGACUCACAUUGGGACACACCCUGUGCCAGGAAAACCGUCCUGCCACCAUGGGCCUCUGGGGCCCUGGGUCACCGUGCUGUGGGUAGCGGACACUGAGCCCUAUGAUGAGGAGACCAAGGGCUGGAGAGCUCUGGCCCCUUCACAUGAGCCAGAGGGGAGGGCCCAGCUCCUGCCUGGUGCCCCGAAAGGCUGCCCUGCCCCAAGCUCCAGCCCUUCCCACUGACCUCAGGGGUCUGUAGGUGACUUCAGUGACGUGGAUUCCAAAGAGCUCCUGGGCUGCAUGCCGGAACACGUGCUCCAGGCCGUCUCGUGAACUCAACCACCUCUGGACACCAACACAUACCACGGGGCAGACGCAAAACCAACCAGAAGGAAGCUGAGGCAGAGAAGAAGGGGGAGGACAGUGCCUGCCCCCGCCUCGUCCCUUCUGCUGCCCACCAGGACAUCAGUGACCCCAAGGUCAAGAGCACCCCAAUGCUGGACGAGCUUACUGCCCCUGACAUGGCAGGCGCGACGUACAGACUGUCCAGGGUAGCCGGCUCCAGCUCUGACAGCGAGACCCCUUCUUCUUCCAGCAGCUUGAAGACUUCUCCUACGAUGAGACCACAGCACAGACAGACGCUCUUCAGCUGAAUCUCAACAAAAACAGAGACCAUGAAAGAUCCCCACCACCUGCAUCCCUAGCAACCUGUGAGUGGCCAGACGUCCAGCCCCUGCUCGUGAGUGGAGGAUGAACCCAGCCAGAGGCAACUCCACUUCUGAAGGGCCUCCCGGUGCUGCGGUGGGGCAGACGCGCCUGACCCUGGGGUGCCUCACAAUGCGCCUGGAGUGGGCAGGGCACCGCGUCCCUGGACAGCGACCCUCCCCGGAUUGUCUGCCUCCCGGGUGGGCAUUCAUUUCUCUUUUAAGCAUUUGGGAGCCUCUGCAAGGCUGCUCAACUCACAGACGGGGUGACCAACAUGAGCCAGGGGGGUUGUGCUGGGCCUGACGCUGGGGACACAGCGCCAGCAGGCUCGGGGCCCCGUACCUGUUGUGAUGACACAAUCCACAUCGCGUGUCUGGUGCUCUUGGCUGAAGAAGUCGGGUCUGGAGGCUUCCAGCUUUUUGUCGUAGCAGGGCAUCACCGUCACGUGGUAGAUCUUGUCGGGGGUCAAAUGCUGCGUGGAGAACACGGCAGUGGUGCAGCUGCCUGGCCCCAGCAGCAAAGGCUGAGGCGGAGGUGACAGCACAGGCACGGCUGGGAGCACAGUUCUGCGUGUGGGUCCAUGACCACUGCAGUCUUGGCUCAUUUUGUAAGAUGUCCCUGUUACCUGCUGCUGGGAGAAGAAGUCCUUGACCAGGGAGCCCAUGACCUGCUGCGGGGACCGGGCGGUGCUGAUGUGGGGGAGGAGGACGUUCCCGUGGGUCUUCUCGGCGUAGCAGAUCCAGCCUGAGGCCGACACAGGGUGGGG
Molecule: long non-coding RNA, 2046 nt
Organism: Balaenoptera ricei (Rice's whale)
Lineage: Eukaryota; Metazoa; Chordata; Mammalia; Artiodactyla; Balaenopteridae
Exons: 3
Source: RefSeq, a predicted model, not a curated record